GAUGAACGCUGGCGGCGUGCCUAAUACAUGCAAGUAGAGCGAACAGACGAGGAGCUUGCUCCUCUGACGUUAGCGGCGGACGGGUGAGUAACACGUGGAUAACCUACCUAUAAGACUGGGAUAACUUCGGGAAACCGGAGCUAAUACCGGAUAACAUGUUGAACCGAAUGGUUCAACAGUGAAAGACGGUUUUGCUGUCACUUAUAGAUGGAUCCGCGUCGCAUUAGCUAGUUGGUAAGGUAACGGCUUACCAAGGCAACGAUGCGUAGCCGACCUGAGAGGGUGAUCGGCCACACUGGAACUGAGACACGGUCCAGACUCCUACGGGAGGCAGCAGUAGGGAAUCUUCCGCAAUGGGCGGAAGCCUGACGGAGCAACGCCGCGUGAGUGAAGAAGGUCUUCGUAUCGUAAAACUCUGUUAUUAGGGAAGAACAAAUGUGUAAGUAACUAUGCACGUCUUGACGGUACCUAAUCAGAAAGCCACGGCUAACUACGUG
Molecule: ribosomal RNA, 497 nt
Filed under: uncultured bacterium
Lineage: Bacteria
Description: partial 16S ribosomal RNA
Rfam family: Bacterial small subunit ribosomal RNA
Source: RNAcentral